GCCAGUUUAGCAUAGUGUUUUAAGUGCUGGACUACAACUCUGAAGACCAGGGUUCGAAUCCCAGCUCUGCCA
Phrynosoma platyrhinos (Desert horned lizard) is the source of this 72-nucleotide non-coding RNA. Lineage: Eukaryota; Metazoa; Chordata; Lepidosauria; Squamata; Phrynosomatidae. The record is from the annotation of a GenBank genome assembly.